UGCCAGCAGCCGCGGUAUACGGAGGUAGCAAGCGUUAUCCGGAUUUAUGGGGUUAAAGGGUCCGUAGGCGGACUCGUAAGUCAGUGGUGAAAUCUCAUAGCUUAACUAUGAAAACUGCCAUUGAUACUGCGGGUCUUGAGUAAGGUAGAGGUAGCUGAAUAAGUAGUGUAGCGGUGAAAUGCAUAGAUAUUACUUAGAACACCAAUUGCGAAAGGCAGGUUACCAUGUCUUAACUGACGCUGAUGGACGAAAGCGUGGGGAGCGAACAGGAUUAGAUACCCUGGUAGUCCACGCCGUAAACGAUGCUAACUCGUUUUUGGGUUUUCGGAUUCAGAGACUAAGCGAAAGUGAUAAGUUAGCCACCUGGGGAGUACGAACGCAAGUUUGAAACUCAAAGGAAUUGACGGGGGCCCGCACAAGCGGUGGAUUAUGUGGUUUAAUUCGAUGAUACGCGAGGAACCUUACCAAGGCUUAAAUGGGAAAUGACAGGCUUAGAAAUAGGCUUUUCUUCGGACAUUUUUCAAGGUGCUGCAUGGUUGUCGUCAGCUCGUGCCGUGAGGUGUUAGGUUAAGUCCUGCAACGAGCGCAACCCCUGUCACUAGUUGCCAUCAUUCAGUUGGGGACUCUAGUGAGACUGCCUACGCAAGUAGAGAGGAAGGUGGGGAUGACGUCAAAUCAUCACGGCCCUUACGCCUUGGGCCACACACGUAAUACAAUGGCCAGUACAGAGGGCUGCUACCAGGCGACUGGAUGCUAAUCUCGAAAGCUGGUCUCAGUUCGGAUUGGAGUCUGCAACUCGACUCUAUGAAGCUGGAAUCGCUAGUAAUCGCGCAUCAGCCAUGGCGCGGUGAAUACGUUCCCGGGCCUUGUACACACCGCCCGUCAAGCCAUGGAAGUCUGGGGUACCUGAAGUCGGUGACCGUAACAGGAGCUGCCUAGGGUAAAACAGGUAACUAGGGCUAAG
RNAcentral lists this ribosomal RNA (964 nucleotides) under uncultured Chryseobacterium sp. RNAcentral's name for it is "bacterial SSU rRNA". It matches the Rfam family "Bacterial small subunit ribosomal RNA", at positions 506 to 1485 of the family's 1533-position model. The record is from RNAcentral. Lineage: Bacteria; Pseudomonadati; Bacteroidota; Flavobacteriia; Flavobacteriales; Weeksellaceae.